UGGACACUGACAUUUGGUCACUGCUCGUGCCAAGGGGCAGAUGGAGACCCGGCGGGGAGCUCGAGGCCUUUCUCACCAGGGACGUUUCUCCAGAGCCCCUGAGGUGCUGUUAGACGGCAGUGGCAGCAUGGCCAGUUCCAUCACCGGCACUGACCGUUCCCAGCAUGCAGCCUCCAGGAACAGCCUCUCAACUCUGACAUCCACUGAUGCACAGCAUCCCUUUAAAUUGGUUUGGG
Long non-coding RNA from Corvus hawaiiensis (hawaiian crow), 236 nucleotides. RefSeq lists it as uncharacterized. The record is from RefSeq and is a predicted model, not a curated record. The transcript is spliced from 3 exons. Lineage: Eukaryota; Metazoa; Chordata; Aves; Passeriformes; Corvidae.